UACAGAGGUCUCAAGCGUUGUUCGGAUUCAUUGGGCGUAAAGGGUGCGCAGGUGGCGAGGCAAGUCGGAUGUGAAAUCCCGGGGCUCAACCCCGGAACUGCAUCCGAUACUGCCGUGCUUGAGGGUUGGAGAGGUAGCUGGAAUUAUCGGUGUAGCAGUGAAAUGCGUGGAUAUCGAUAGGAACACUCGUGGCGAAGGCGAGCUACUGGACAACAUCUGACGCUGAGGCUCGAAGGCUAGGGGAGCAAAAGGG
This 253-nucleotide ribosomal RNA is filed under the name uncultured bacterium. Its description in RNAcentral is "partial 16S ribosomal RNA". It matches the Rfam family "Bacterial small subunit ribosomal RNA", at positions 524 to 776 of the family's 1533-position model. The record is from RNAcentral.